Molecule: non-coding RNA, 191 nt
Filed under: Tumebacillus flagellatus
Lineage: Bacteria; Bacillati; Bacillota; Bacilli; Caryophanales; Alicyclobacillaceae
Description: 6S / SsrS RNA
Rfam family: 6S / SsrS RNA
About the family: E. coli 6S RNA was the first non coding RNA to be sequenced, but its function was unknown until recently.
Source: Rfam by way of RNAcentral
UGAUUCCUGCGGUGUUCGUUAGGGUUCUACGUGUUUUGAACCUUGAGUGUUUCGAGGGAGACAGAACUCACGGCUGGAUGACAUGCCCACCUCCUUAUAGGACGAAUGGGAAGUCAGAAUCUGUGACGGGUCACCCACCUGCUGAUGGCAGGUUCGGAAACACAGAGCUCGACGGCACAGGCGGGAUACAU